Eupeodes corollae is the source of this 548-nucleotide long non-coding RNA. RefSeq lists it as uncharacterized. The transcript has 2 exons. Lineage: Eukaryota; Metazoa; Arthropoda; Insecta; Diptera; Syrphidae. The record is from RefSeq and is a predicted model, not a curated record.
CUAUGGCUAUGAAAUCUGAAUAAACAAUAUUUUUGGUGUUGAAUCGGAGCGCAAUUUUUUUAAAGCACCUGGAACACAUCUUUACUGUUUUCGACUUCAUACGCGAAGUUAACCCUUCAACUCAGCAAAGACAAUACAGAAUAUACGAGUAUACAAUAAAAUUGGGGUAUUGGUAAUGGUUAAGGGAACAGGAAGAGAAAGGAAACUGAGAAAGAAUUAGUUUUUCGUUGGCUCGAUGAGUAGCUUACCAACAACCAACUUUAACUUCUACUUCAACUUCACCCAUACGUUAUACCUACAUGAACAUGUAAAUUAUAUACACAACGCGAAGGCUUAUUUAACAAACUAAUAAAUAGUAAUUAUGCACUUUUUAUUCAAUUAAUGAUUUAACCAACCUGGUGAAUUGUUUCUUGAGUUUUUUGUUUUAUGUAUGCACUUUUCACAAUUUUGUAUUGUAUUUGUAUAAAAAAUAUUUGUUUGUAUAUAUAUUAAAGUAUUUUCUUACAAGUCUUUAAGUUUACACAUUUAGGUUAUUUUUUUUUUCUUUU